This 301-nucleotide ribosomal RNA is filed under the name uncultured bacterium. RNAcentral describes it as "partial 16S ribosomal RNA". It matches the Rfam family "Bacterial small subunit ribosomal RNA", at positions 509 to 809 of the family's 1533-position model. The record is from RNAcentral.
CAGCCGCCACGGGAACACGGAGGGGGCUAGCGUUGUUCGGAAUUACUGGGCGUAAAGCGCACGUAGGCGGCUUUGUAAGUUAGAGGUGAAAGCCCGGAGCUCAACUCCGGAAUUGCCUUUAAGACUGCAGAGCUAGCAGGUGAGAGAGGUGAGUGGAAUUCCGAGUGUAGAGGUGAAAUUCGUAGAUAUUCGGAAGAACACCAGUGGCGAAGGCGGCUCACUGGCUCAUACUGGACGCUGAGGUGCGAAAGCGUGGGGAGCAAACAGGAUUAGAUACCCCCGUAGUCCCUGUUCUCUUAUA